CCACCUAUUCACUCCCGAAACACUUCACCCCUCCCAACACCACGACCCAACCAACCCACCUUACCUUUGAGCUGGCUCCUUGAAUCCUGAAUGGCAACACCAAAAUAUUUUAGUCCACGACAGACCAGAGAGACGACGCACGUCGGACUGACCCGCUUUCUCCAUCCUGACGCAGGAGCAGAGACUGUAGGCUGCCCUGCUUUUUACUCUGUCUCUCUCUGUGUGUGUGUGUCUCCUCUCUCUGUCUCAGCCUGCACAAAGCCACUAAAAGAGUUUAAAAAGAGAGGCAGAAAAUCCAAAUCGAAAAGUUUAGGAUCAGGACGUGGCUGGCUGGCUGCACCUCGGAGAGAAGAAUGACAUCAGGAACAAAAAUACAGACGGAGAUGAGGUGACUUGUGCGCUCGCCUGGACUCUGCCGCUGCCGUGGGAGCCUCCAGCUGUGCGCCGGAGUUAAACAAGAGGCUGGGGUGGGGGUGGGGGGGACCCACGUUUUGGAUGUUUUCACCGAGGAGCGCACAGAGACGGAGGGAGAGACACCGACCUUCCCACCGACCUUCCUCCUCCUCCUCCUCCUCCUCUUCCACACCCCGAGAAAGGACUCAGCGUAUGUGACCCCACAGCACUGACAUGACGCCAUCACUUGGUGGUCUGUGGACCAGAGUGUGUUCCCACCCUGACUGGAGGAUUCAAGUGAUGAUUGCAAGAAAGAGGAUGGAAUUUAAAUGGAAACUGACACACAGCUGAUGAAGCAGAAAGGAACAAUAAAAGGCUGUUGGCCCCGGCAGGGAGGGAGGAGGCAGCAGGACGGGCGGGCAGACUGAGAGACGAAAGAGUGUGGAUCAGCCGACACCUUUUUCUUUGCAGUAGCACGACCCGAAACCCUGAGAGUCAAGCCGGUUUGAGUGGGACACGCCCGGUAAUCCCGGUGUGGGAAGGAUGAGCAGGUAAAGUGGCCGAUGGGGCAGCAGCUGGACACCCGAACACACAGGUG
This is a long non-coding RNA of Scatophagus argus, 991 nucleotides long. RefSeq lists it as uncharacterized. The record is from RefSeq and is a predicted model, not a curated record. Lineage: Eukaryota; Metazoa; Chordata; Actinopteri; Scatophagidae. The transcript is spliced from 6 exons.